RNAcentral lists this transfer RNA (76 nucleotides) under Chloroflexota bacterium. Its description in RNAcentral is "tRNA-His". It matches the Rfam family "tRNA". From Rfam's summary of the family: Transfer RNA (tRNA) molecules are approximately 80 nucleotides in length. Their secondary structure includes four short double-helical elements and three loops (D, anti-codon, and T loops). The record is from RNAcentral. RNAcentral also lists the same sequence under 2 other names. Lineage: Bacteria; Bacillati; Chloroflexota.
GUGACUGUAGCUCAAUAGGUGGAGCGCCAGAUUGUGGAUCUGGAGGUCGCGGGUUCGACCCCCGUCAGUCACCCCA